CAGUGGAAUCUCCAUGCUUUUUGUUGUUGUUGUCCAGGCUUCAUCUGUGUCUUGGAAACCGCCCUAAAACCCAUGGUGGCUGUCAUUGUCUUCACACAUAGAUCAUCGUUACCAAGAAGGACAAAGCCACCGUCUGUGUGACUCCAGAUGCACGAUGGAUCAACAAAGUCAUUGCCAAGUUACAAAGAACCAACAAGAAGAAGAGAAGUGCAGAACUUCCCAUCUCAACCACCAUUGAGUGAAUUGGAACAGGAAUGUAUCAAGUUGGAGCUAAAUGGAAAUGUGAUACCAAUGU
Molecule: long non-coding RNA, 295 nt
Organism: Salvelinus namaycush (lake trout)
Lineage: Eukaryota; Metazoa; Chordata; Actinopteri; Salmoniformes; Salmonidae
Exons: 3
Source: RefSeq, a predicted model, not a curated record